UACGGGGGGGGCAAGCGUUGUUCGGAAUUACUGGGCGUAAAGGGCUCGUAGGUGGCCAACUAAGUCAGACGUGAAAUCCCUCGGCUUAACCGGGGAACUGCGUCUGAUACUGGAUGGCUUGAGUUCGGGAGAGGGAUGCGGAAUUCCAGGUGUAGCGGUGAAAUUCGUAGAUAUCGGGAGGAACACCGGUGGCGAAGGCGGCGACCUGGGUAGAUACUGACGCUGAGGCGCGAAAGCGUGGGGAGCAAACAGG
RNAcentral lists this ribosomal RNA (253 nucleotides) under uncultured bacterium. RNAcentral's name for it is "partial 16S ribosomal RNA". It matches the Rfam family "Bacterial small subunit ribosomal RNA", at positions 524 to 776 of the family's 1533-position model. The record is from RNAcentral.